UAUUAAAAAUUUUAUCUAUUUUUAUCGUUAAAAAUUCAUAUAAUUGACAGAAUAAUCAAACAGUGACACAUGAUUUGUCACAUGUACCUUACUUUAAUGUAAAAUGAUUAGUUUUUACUAAUAUAAAUAGAUAAAAAGAUUAACA
This is a non-coding RNA of Gossypium raimondii (Peruvian cotton), 145 nucleotides long. NCBI's taxonomy places the organism in Eukaryota, Viridiplantae, Streptophyta, Magnoliopsida, Malvales, Malvaceae. The record is from Rfam.